Molecule: small RNA, 195 nt
Filed under: Nitrosomonas europaea ATCC 19718
Lineage: Bacteria; Pseudomonadati; Pseudomonadota; Betaproteobacteria; Nitrosomonadales; Nitrosomonadaceae
Description: Proteobacterial sRNA psRNA2
Rfam family: Proteobacterial sRNA psRNA2
Source: Rfam by way of RNAcentral
GGAUUACUCCUUUACGCUUUCGCGUUUGGUUGAUAAAGAUUCGCACCUCUAUCAAACCGGGUAAUCCCACCUCUUGGCAAGACCUGCUGUCAGAUCAAAUCUGAACUACUACAAUUCACGAUUAGUUUUCCGGAGCUGAUCAGCCUUUAAAAAUGCGGGGAAUUCUGGAUUUUUUCCGGAUUCCCUGCACUGAUG